CCUACGGGUGGCAGCAGUAGGGAAUCUUCCACAAUGGGCGAAAGUCUGAUGGAGCGACGCCGCGUGAGUGAAGAAGGAUUUCGGCUCGUAAAGCUCUGUUGGUAGGGAAGAAAGAUAGGGGUAGUAACUGGCCUUUAUUUGACGGUAAUUACUUAGAAAGUGACGGCUAACUACGUGCCAGCAGCCGCGGUAAUACGGAGGUGGCAAGCGUUGUCCGGAUUUAUUGGGCGUAAAGGGAGUGCAGGCGGUUUAAUAAGUCUGAUGUGAAAGCCUUCGGCUCAACCGGAGAAUUGCAUCAGAAACUGGUGAACUUGAGUGCAGAAGAGGUGAGUGGAACUCGAGGUGUAGCGGUGGAAUGCGUAGAUAUAUGGAAGAACACCAGUGGCGAAGGCGGUUCUCUGGUCUGCAACUGACGCUGAGGCUCGAAAGCAUGGGUAGCGAACAGGAUUAGAUACCCUAGUAGUC
Molecule: ribosomal RNA, 465 nt
Filed under: uncultured bacterium
Lineage: Bacteria
Description: partial 16S ribosomal RNA
Rfam family: Bacterial small subunit ribosomal RNA
Source: RNAcentral